Rhododendron vialii is the source of this 1707-nucleotide RNA transcript. It is a transcript of the gene named serine/arginine-rich-splicing factor SR34-like, with no coding region annotated. The transcript has 15 exons. The record is from RefSeq and is a predicted model, not a curated record. NCBI's taxonomy places the organism in Eukaryota, Viridiplantae, Streptophyta, Magnoliopsida, Ericales, Ericaceae.
UUAGUUAUUUACCACCGUGCCCUCUCACCAAUCUCAAAACCCUAAUCUUUGCUACAAGUCUCCGUCUCUGUGCAUUCUGCCCGAUUUCAGAUAAUUCUAGGGAACAAUGAGUCGCUCGAGUAGAACACUCUAUGUUGGCAAUCUUCCCGGUGAUAUUCGCGAAAGGGAAGUAGAAGAUAUCUUUUACAAGUAUGGACCAAUUGCCCACAUUGAUUUGAAGAUCCCGCCAAGGCCCCCUGGUUAUGCCUUUGUCGAGUUUGAAGAGGCUCGUGAUGCUGAAGAUGCUAUUCGUGGUCGUGAUGGUUAUGAUUUUGAGGGGCAUCGGCUGCGGGUAGAGCUUGCACAUGGAGGGCGCGGAAAUUCGUCAGCUGUCGAUCGUUACAGUGGUUAUAAGAAAGGAGGAGGAGGAGGAGGAGGAGGAGGUGGUGGGCGUGGUGGAGUGUCUAGGCGCUCUGAAUAUCGAGUGUUAGUCACCGGAUUGCCUAGCUCUGCUUCAUGGCAAGACCUUAAGGAUCACAUGCGUCGGGCAGGGGAUGUCUGCUUCUCCCAAGUUUUUCGUGAUGCAACUGGCACAAAGGGGAUUGUGGACUAUACUAGCUAUGAUGACAUGAAAUAUGCAAUUAGGAAACUCGACGACUCUGAGUUUCGGAAUGCUUUUUCUGAUGGAAUAGUUCGUGUGAGAGAAUAUAAAUCAAGUCGAAGUCGAAGCCGGAGCCAGAGCCGGAGCUAUUCUAGGAGCCGUAGUCCUUCUGACUCGAAAGGCAGGAGCUACAGUCGAAGCAGGAGUAGGAGCAGGAGCAAGUCUCCCAAAGCCAAAUCUUCUCGUCGCUCGCCUUCUAGAUCUCGUUCACGAUCUGCUUCUCCUCACGCUCGUUCUGGAUCAAAGCUGCGCUCUCAGUCGAGAUAUGGAUUUUGCGGCGAUCUGGGGAUUGCAUAUUAGGAUCUUGCAUCUUGGUUGGAUAUGGUUCAAAUGCCUGCUGCCUGCAACUCUUUCGGUUGUGGAGGUAUGGCGUUUUCUAGAUGGGCAGCUUUAGAAAUCUUCAUGGUAUGUAUGUUCUAAUACGUUAAGCAUCACAAAUGUCCGUGGGUGCUAGAUUGGGAACAAAGAUCAUGGAUUGCUCUGGUAAAGCUGGAAUUUGAACCAAGUGCAUUGGCAUUUGGAAACCACCAUCUGCGGUAGAAACCAUUUUACUGUCAUUGCUAUUCAACAAAGUCAUAUGCUAAUAGGGCAGGUGUAUGGACUCUUUGUUGGCCAUUUGGGCAUCCUGCUUACUGCUGUCUUAGACAACCAUUGUGUGGCUUCCAUUAACGAUUGCACUAUCUCCAUCAAGAUCCAGAUCUCCUGUACCAUCUCGCCAGAAGCAUGAUAAUAAAACCCUCAAAAAGCGCAGUGCUAGCCGGAGCCGCAGCAGGAGCAAGACUUUAUCCAGGUGAGAUUUGGUCAAGGUUGUAUCUGUUGACUCCAGUUGCAGUUACAAGGGACUGUUGCUUCACACCUUAUAGUUAUGUAUUUGGGUUGACAGUUUGAUCGAGUUUGGUUGGACUUGGGAUAGCGAACAUUUGUUAUCAUUUCGGAAGUCUAUUUUCUUGUUAAGUGCUUGUUGAAACUAGAACACAAAUAUUACAUUGUUUGUUGUGAGUUUUGCUUGAUUUUGCCUUAAGGCACAGAUAUUCAUUUCGGUUAUUGGUGUGGAUUGCUCAGAGUUA